RNAcentral lists this unclassified non-coding RNA (2398 nucleotides) under Hevea brasiliensis (rubber tree). Lineage: Eukaryota; Viridiplantae; Streptophyta; Magnoliopsida; Malpighiales; Euphorbiaceae. The record is from RNAcentral.
AAAAAAAAAAAUCAAUUUUCUUUUAUAUAAAACCCCUUUAGCGCUUCCAUUUCAACACCAUCCCUUCCCUUUCUUUCCUUAAGACUGGUAGAUUUAUGGGUUUUCUUGCUCCUUCUUCCACUUGUUUCAGUGCUGCUAAAUGGCUUGGCUUUGUCACCGCCGUUUGGGUUCAAGCCAUUUCAGGCAACAAUUACACUUUCUCUAACUAUUCUGAUGCUCUCAAGACUCUUAUGAACUUGACCCAACUCCAACUUAACAAUUUAUCCGUUGCCAAAGAUGUGGGUAAGGCCUUUGGCCUCCUUGCUGGUCUUGCCUCUGACCGCUUGCCUACUCAGGUGCUUCUUCUUAUUGGUUCACUCGAAGGUCUUAUUGGUUAUGGUGCUCAAUGGCUCGUUGUUAGUGGGCGGAUUCAACCUCUUGCUUACUGGCAGAUGUGCAUAUUCCUCUGUUUGGGAGGCAACAGUACUACUUGGAUGAACACGGCGGUUCUAGUAACCUGCAUCCGCAACUUCCGGCGAAACAGAGGCCCUGUCUCCGGCAUCUUGAAAGGUUAUGUGGGACUGAGCACUGCCAUCUUCACUGACCUCUGCUCUGCUCUCUUCUCCGACAACCCUUCUAGCUUCCUUCUUAUGCUGGCAAUUAUUCCCUUCGCCGUCUGCCUCACCGCCAUCCUCUUCCUCCGUGAGAUCCCUCCGGCUGCCACUGCCGAAGAAGAAAAAGAAGAAUUCAAAUAUUUCUCAGUCUUUAACGUUGUGGCCAUUGUUGUUGCAGUUUAUUUGUUAGCAUUUGACUUUGUCAGCAAUCCUAGCCGUGUUCUUUCUUUAGCGUUUUCAAUUAUAUUGCUAGUUCUGCUAGCUUCUCCAUUAGCAGUUCCAUUUUACUCUUUUGUAAAGAGCUGGAAUCUGAAUCGCCUGAAGAAUAAACCGGCUGACGUUGAAGAACAGAUUGAUGAGCCAUUGCUGAGUGGAGAAAUCCAGGGGGAGAUUCAAGAAAAACCGGCAGAGGCGGCGGCUGCAGUGUCAGUUGCUACUCAACCGCCGACGGAUGAAGUGGCCGAGAUAAAGAGGAAGCCGGUGAUCGGCGAAGAUCACACGAUUUUCGAAGCGAUGAUGAAGUUGGAUUUUUGGAUUUUAUUUGUUUCAUUUCUUUGUGGAGUGGGUACUGGUUUGGCUGUGAUGAACAACAUGGGACAGAUAGGUUUGGCUCUUGGAUACGCUGACGUUUCGAUUUUCGUCUCUCUUACAAGCAUUUGGGGAUUUUUUGGAAGGAUUGGUUCGGGCUCUGUCUCAGAGUUCUUCAUCAAGUAAGUUUAAUUUCUCGUCAACUUUUUAAUAGUAUCUUGAAUUAAAUUUGAUACUAAUCUCAUAUAUUAAUUAUAAAGCAUGCACACCAAAAUUAAUGUAUUUUUUUUAUUUAUUGACAAUAUUUUUAAUUCCGUACAAGAUUAGAAAAUUAAAAAAAUGACAUGAAUUCAGAUGAUUGAUGAAUUGUUUCAUGGUUUUCUACAAACUACAGGCGAAAUAUAAGUGUAAUCCAUGUGAUUGGUUUUCUAUGGUGUGGAUUAAAGUUUCCCACAGAAUUGGUCAAAAGGACAAAUGAAAUAAAGUUGAAUUACAACAAAUCACCUUGUUUUAUUUCUUUCAUAGGAGUUUCUAGUUCAGAUUUCAUGUGGUGGGCUGGAGAGAGUUAGUUCCCAUCACCAUCAGGAUACGAAUCUUGUUUGUUGAUUCUAGUUAUAAGUUGACCAAGUUUCUCUUGUCUAGGCUAGAUCACAGCAGGUGGGAAUUCAUGGUAGAUUUUGGUAAACUAGGCUUUGAUAUUUCUAUUUACUAUUAUUAUUAAUGAUAUUUGCUAUGGGUACUGCAUAUAAUAAUCAGGACAUCAUUGGUUUUGACACCCUUUUGAAUUGCAUUUAAUGGGUUAGAGGUUUGGACUCAGGUGUUGGAAUUCCUCCCCCCCUCGCUUUGUGUGAAAGAAAAAAAAAAAUAAUAAAAAGGUGUCUUAAAAGAGAGAUGAUUAAGUUCUGUUGAGGGACUUCUAGCGUGGGGAAAAUACCAAAGCGUGUAGUAAUGAAGGAGAGAAAGCAGUUUUUAAAGGUCUGAAUGAGCUGGUUUACAAAACAAACACGGUUUGGGUGAUCAGUUACGUUUCUAUCUCUCGCAAUCUAGUUUACCUAAAUUCUGUUGGCAAUUACAGUAUGCUUCACAAGUUAUAAUUGUUAGAAGGAAGGAUACAGUAUCCUUGUUUUUGGGUUGCUAUAAGAGCUGACCAACUGCUUUCUUUUUUCUUUUCUUUUGUGUACGUAUGAAUGGAGCUAAAUUACCAAAAGUUAAUUAAACAAAAGAUUUCUUGGCAACUGUUUUAUUUUUUCUUUUCUUUUGUGUAUGUAUGAAUGGAA